AUGCGCGGUCUGCCUCCCGCGGCGGGCCGGGUCUCCAGGGAGGACCUGAGUUUUCUUCACCCAUUGUCAGGGAGGCGCCAUCGCCCUGGCUUUGGGGCUGGGGCCUCCGGGGAGGUUCCGGUAGGGGCGUUGGAGAGGCCGCUCUUUUUGCAAGGCCCGAGACGGCGGGCCUUGCGCAGGCCGCCCUAUUCCGCGCCCUCAGGGCGUCAGUAUCAGCCUGAGGCUGGAUACCCCCGCUGGGCCCAGAUGCCCCCGCUGGGCCCGGAGCAUCCUCCGGCGCUGCCCUCCCAGAGCCACGCAGAGGCUGAGGUGGCGCGGGGGCGGCCCUGGCUCCGCGAGAAGCGGCGGCAGCGAGGGCUGGAGGACCCGGGCUGCGGGGCUCCGGGGCGUCUGGCCUGGGUGGGACUGAGCCCAUCCAGGGACUGGGACUCCGGGGUUCUGGUGUAGGUGGAUCCGGGGCAGGCUCAGGACCAAGUCCCUCUCCUUCCACCAAGGAGCGCCCAGAGGCCGGCGGGAGCUCCAGGUUCACCUCCUCCUCCUCCAGCUUGACUACAACACAAAUGAAUCCACUCAAAUGUUGGCAAGUGGAGCAGAGUCCCAGAACAGGUGCUGCAGCAGCCCGGCUGGAAGCGAUGCAGCAUCCAGGACGACGGAGGAAGGGGCAGAGAGGGACCUCUGCUUUCCAGGCUGCCUUUUAUACUGCCUCUGGUCACCUGACGUGGAACGUACCCUAACCUAAUCAGUUACAUGAGGCGCUUGGAAACCACCGUCAAUUGGACCGCACUGGGAAACACAGAUGAACAAAGUCAACACCGCUUUGUCCUGCAGUGCCUGGCUCCUUUUUCAGCUCGUCUUGCGACUCCAGAAACUCCUGGAGGGCAGAGGCAUGCCUGCCAUCUUCAUCAUUGCAUUACCACCACCCAACACUAUCGGGGGACCUGCCCUGAUAAUCAGUCUACAGGUGUAUCCAGCAGCUCCAGAGAGACAGCGACCAGCGAGAAGGGGCCAUGAUGAUGGAGGUGGUUUUGUCAAAACGAAAAUGGGGAUAUGUAGGGAAAAGAAAGAGAGAUCAGACUGUUACUGUGUCUACAUAGAAAGGGAAGACAUAAGAGACUCCAUUUUGAAAAAGACCUGUACUUUAAACAAUUGCUUUGCUGAGAUGUUGUUAAUCUGUAGCUUUGCCCCAGCCACUUUGCCCCAACCACUUUGACCCAAUCUGGAGCUCAUAAAAACAUGUGUUGUAUGAAAUCAAGGUUUAAGGCAUGUAGGGCUGUGCAGGACGUGCCUUGUUAACCAAAUGUUUGCAAGCAGUAUACUUGGUAAAAGUCAUCACCAUUCUCUCAUCUCAAUAAACCAGGGGCACAAUGCACUGUGGAAAGCCGCAGGGACCUCUGCCCUUGAAAGCUGGGUAUUGUCCAAAGUUCCUCCCCAUGUGAUAGUCUGAAAUAUGGCCUCGUGGGAUGAGAAAGACCUGACGGUCCCCCAGCGCGACACCCAUAAAAGAUCUGUGCUGAGGUGGAUUAGUCAAAGAGGAAAGACUUGCAGUUGAGAUAGAGGAAGGCCACUGUCUCCUGACUGCCCCUGGGAACUGAAUGUCUCGGUAUAAAACACGAUUGUACAUUUGUUCAGUUCUGAGAUGGGAGAAAAACCGCCCUAUGGUGGGAGGCGAGACAUGUUUACAGCAAUGCUGCCUUGUUAUCCUUUACUCCACUGAGAUGUCUGGGUGGAGAGAAACAUAAAUCUGGCUUACAUGCACGUCCAGUCAUAGUACCUUCCCUUGAACUUCAUUAUGACAUGGAUUCUAUUGCUCACGUUUGUUGCUGACCUUCUCCUUAUUAUCACCCUGCCCUCCUACUACAUUCCUUUUUGCUGAAAUAAUGAAGAUAAUAAUCAAUAAAAACUGAGGGAAUUCAG
This 1914-nucleotide long non-coding RNA is filed under the name Homo sapiens (human). Its description in RNAcentral is "non-protein coding lnc-ZNF705D-2:23". Lineage: Eukaryota; Metazoa; Chordata; Mammalia; Primates; Hominidae. The record is from RNAcentral.